GCCAGCAUGGGGCAAUGGUUUGAGUGUUGGACUACCAUUCUGGAGACCAGGGUUCGAUUCCCUGCUCAGCCA
Molecule: non-coding RNA, 72 nt
Organism: Phrynosoma platyrhinos (Desert horned lizard)
Lineage: Eukaryota; Metazoa; Chordata; Lepidosauria; Squamata; Phrynosomatidae
Source: the annotation of a GenBank genome assembly